CCUACGGGAGGCAGCAGUGAGGAAUAUUGGUCAAUUGGCGGGAGCCUGAACCAGCCAAGUCGCGUGAGGGAAGACGGUCCUAUGGAUUGUAAACCUCUUUAGGCGGGGAGCAAUGCCGGGCACGCGUGCCCGGAGGGAGAGUACCCGCAGAAUAAGCAUCGGCUAACUCCGUGCCAGCAGCCGCGGUAAUACGGAGGAUGCGAGCGUUAUCCGGAUUGAUUGGGGUUAAAGGGUGCGUAGGCGGAUGUUUAAGUCAGCGGUAAAAUGUCCGGGCUCAACCCGGGCCGGCCGUUGAAACUGGGGAUCUUGAGUGGGCGAGAAGUAUGCGGAAUGCGUGGUGUAGCGGUGAAAUGCAUAGAUAUCACGAAGAACUCCGAUUGCGAAGGCAGCAUACCGGCGCCCGACUGACGCUGAGGCACGAAAGCGUGGGGAUCGAACAGGAUUAGAUACCCGAGUAGUC
RNAcentral lists this ribosomal RNA (460 nucleotides) under uncultured bacterium. RNAcentral describes it as "partial 16S ribosomal RNA". It matches the Rfam family "Bacterial small subunit ribosomal RNA", at positions 338 to 795 of the family's 1533-position model. The record is from RNAcentral.